RNAcentral lists this transfer RNA (82 nucleotides) under Planctomycetota bacterium. RNAcentral's name for it is "Planctomycetes bacterium (wastewater metagenome) tRNA-Leu". It matches the Rfam family "tRNA". From Rfam's summary of the family: Transfer RNA (tRNA) molecules are approximately 80 nucleotides in length. Their secondary structure includes four short double-helical elements and three loops (D, anti-codon, and T loops). Lineage: Bacteria; Pseudomonadati; Planctomycetota. The record is from RNAcentral.
GCCGGAGUGGCGGAAUCGGCAGACGCACGGGUUUCAAAAACCCGCGCCGCAAGGCGUGCGGGUUCAAGUCCCGCCUCCGGCA